Molecule: long non-coding RNA, 442 nt
Filed under: Ananas comosus (pineapple)
Lineage: Eukaryota; Viridiplantae; Streptophyta; Magnoliopsida; Poales; Bromeliaceae
Description: long non-coding RNA (ACOM_LNC025598)
Source: RNAcentral
UUAAAUAUUAAAUAUUCGAAUAAAAUAUUUAAUACUAAUUUACUUUGUAUAAAAAUUUUGUUAUUUGAUUGAGAGUAAGAUAUUUUGAUUUUUAUUUUUGAAAUAUCUUGACAUACAUAAUUUAAUAAAAUAAUAUAUCUCAUCUAUGAGAUGAUUUAUUUUAUUCUAAAAAACUAGUUUGAAGGCUAAAUAUCGUGAUCUAUUCUAGAUAUUUGAUUACAUUCGUUGUCUACUAAGUACUAUAAUUUUUGUGAAUAAAUUAAAGAGAUAUACGAAAUAAGAUAUUCAUACAUCCAAACAAAUUUUAUUUGAAUGUCAGAAUAAGUUAUCCGGUGAUAAUUUGUUCGAUGUGAAAAUUUUUGUUUUGUAAUUGAAAGCUAGAUGUUUGAUUUUUGCUCUUUAAAAAGUGUUGCCAUUUAUGAUUCUAUAGAAUAAUAUAUUU